CCUCACAUCCUAGUACUCUGCCAUCUUCAUUCAAUCUAUCACUUAUUUCUUUCUAUAUUAUAAAGUUGAGUUUUUCAAGUUUAUUUUUACCCCUCACCUCUAAUAUUUGUUUAUUCUAGUACUUUGCCUUAAAGUAUAAACGUCCUUCAAACUACUCGAUUAAGAAAAGAAUAAGCCUAGGAAAAUAAUCUUAUUCUUUCCUCUCCUUUCUCUCCACAAAACAGCAAAUCAUAUUUUGUGCCAUAAUACCUUUCUUGCAACUGUUAUAUCUAAAAGAGUGACAUUUAAAGUACUCUGACUUCACAGCAUGUCGCUACGUCCUUUGAUCCUAAGUUUUAACUUCUAAAAUAUUUGAAAAAAUUAAAUAUUUGGGUUGUGUUUAUUGUACACUUUAAGUUGAAGUCUUUGUUUUCAAGUUUUUUAGACCUGUCUCCUUUGGUGCAGCUAGGGAGAGGUUAGGUCCUUUGGGAGAAAGUUUUAGAAGAAAUUUAUUGCAGAACCUCCUGAAAUAGGGGUAAUCUGCCCUCCUUGAGCACAUCCAGAGAGGCUAUUGUGGUAUUUGUGCAUAACUUUCAGGAAGCUGAGUGCAACUUAAACCAUUCCCACACUAGACCUUUUCCACCCUUUCCCAAGUACCCCUGUUUCAUCUUAGCCAAGUUUUCAGAUUUGUAGACUAUGUGACAGCUCAUGUAAGGCCAGGACCCUCUGGUAGAGAGCCCCUAUGGUGGUUCAUGACUUUGGCUCUCAUCCAUCUAGAAGUCCAAGGCUUUAUCCCUCAAAAAACACUCUGGAUUUUCUUUCUGAAGCUGAUUGAGAAUAAAUAUUAAUUAUUCUUUCUUCUGUAUUCAUGAGGGAAAAGAAAGCAUUAAAGCCUAUAUCACUCUUAGUUGUUUUUAUUUAAAUAAAGAAUCUCACAUUUAAAUAAAUAACAUCAGAUAUUUAAAUUCCACAAGGAGGAGUUUAAAUUACCUAAAAAAAAGUACUGAGUUGUUUUGUUUUGUUUUGUUUUUACACAUGCUGAAAGUUUUCUUUCAGAAGGUUUAGUUCUGGUUGAAUUGAAAAGUGGAGACUUGAUAACUGCUUGGAAAGCUUUGAAAGUGUGCUGAUGGUAUGAGGUAGGUAGCAGCAGUUUAAAAAUAGGUAGACUUAAGAGACAAGUAGGACAGGAGAAUCACUUGAACUUGAAAACUAAUUGUUGAAGGUGUAGGAGACAGAGGAAGGAAGAUGAAAUUGGAAGUUUUUUUCCUUUAAAAUUUUCAGACACAAAGCACAGUAAAAGUCAUUUCUCUAGGAUUUUGAUGGACUUUGACAAACCAAAUUCUUGCCUACAAAUUUAGAGCACAUAAUUUCUUGAUACAAGUGUCUAAUCAUGUUCGUGAAUUUAGUUUCUUUACAGAGAUACGGGUAGAGAAUAUACAUUAAAAUUAUCUUUCUCAUCUAAUAUUGGAUUUAGAUAAAGAGUAUCUUAAGGGACUGAAGGCUCACAAUAUAUUGAUUUUGAAUUACAAUAAUUAAAAUUAGACAUCUGGAGUUUCUGCCAAUUUAACUUUCUCUGCUCUGCAAAACCCCAUUAGAGACACAGAAAAUUGUAGAACUGUGCACAUAUUUGCAAAUAUUUCAGUAAUUAAAUUAUCUAUAUAUGCACUUAAUUGUAUAAUAACUGAAUAUAUUUCAGUAUGCUUCAAGUUUAAAUGAUCCAAUAUGUUUCCAGUAGAAUUGUGUUCAUUUAUAUAUUUGUCAUUUUGGAAAAGCAAUCACAUUCUUAGAUCUAUUGGACAGAAACUCAUUUUUAGUUAAAUAGUUGUAGCUAUAAAAUGCUAAUUGUGUUCAUAUGCAUGGAUUACUCCAAAAACACAUAUAUGGGUUUGCAGUUGUAAGAAACAGAGUUUAAAAUUGAGUGAUUGUGGAAGUAUCAUUAUAAGUACUGUAUUAGACAUUCACACAAGAAUGAAAAGGCAAGCUCUAAAAGGAAACUGGUUAAAAUUACAUGAUUGUAUUUUUGUAUAUCUUAGGAUGAAAGCUUCGUGAUUAUAGGGCCAGUAUGUAGGUAUGCUUUAAUUCUGUAUUCUGAGCGUUUAGAGCAGAACCUGACACACAUACAAAGUUAUCAGUGAAAUAUGUAAUUAACUGUAUGUAUAUAUUAAGCCUAUAUGUGUAUGUAUCUACAAACAUAUAUCCAUAAGCAUAUAUAUAGACAUAUACACACAUCUACAUAUGCGCAGGAAAAAAACCUUAAAAAUGUUUACCAUUGGAUAUGGGAUUGUGGAUUAUUUAAUUUUUUCUGUACAUUUUAUAAAAUUUCCAAAAUUUUCUUCAAUAAGAGAUAAUUAUUUUUUUAAUUGGAUUAAAUUAGCAAUGCUAUUAAGAAUAUACACAUUAGGAAAAUGAUAUGUACAAUAAAAAAAUCUCAUGUUUUCUUCAAUGCAUGUAAAAUACUAAAUCUUUUAGAAAAUAUCAACAAUUAAAAUUCAUUGGAGUUCUUUUCUAUGUAAUAUGGAAACUUCACAGACCAUUAUCUAGUUUAAUAACCAUUUCAUAAUUUCUCCAAGAUCUUCCAGGGGGGAUUAAUUUGUGAAUAACUGCUAAAAGGCUAUUUCAUUGCCAGUUUUCUUGUGCUUGGUGUCAUUUGAGAGUUAGUGAGCUUUAGACUGGCUAUAAGGUCCUAAUUUUCGAUUGCUGCAAUCAGUGAUCUUGUGACCUCUAAAGCCAUUAUAAACUAGAGGAAGAAUGACCUAGAAAAGUCGCAUUGCAGAUAGAAUCCUUACUAUCUUUUUAAAUGGGAAAUUCAAAAGGAAUGAGGAGUCAAUCCAUGGUUUUUGUUUUUUGUUUGUUUUAGUUUGGUUUUGUUUUUAACUUACCUAAUAAUAGCUAAAAUUUAUUUAGAACUUGUGCAUCAGGUUAUUUUCUCACCACACUAUAUAUAAAAUUUACUUAAUUUUCACAUUCCACAGAAAUAUAAACUAUUUUGCAGUUGAGGAAAGUGGGGUACAGAUGCAUGCUAUCUAAUUAAUGAGUGUACAAACCAGAAUUUCAAUCCAGGCAAUCUGACUGCAGAAUCCAUAAUCCUGACCUUAGUGAUGGACUCCCUGCCAGUUCUCCAAACCUGGAGCUUCAUCAUUGUCUAACAGAAUGAAGAUUGCCCCUGGAAACAAGAUGGCAAGAUUAUAAUUUUUCUAGAAACUUUGGCAAAACCUUACAUCCCUGAUUGGUAAUGAUCUCAGUUGCAAAAUGUGGGACAAUUUUACUUGUCUUUCUUAGAAGCAUUAUGUUGUCCUUUGUGAUAUUUUGCAGGCCCUUCUUGCUCUAAUAAUUUUGUAAAUACUCCUUUUAUACAAUUCACUGGAAAAUCUUGAGAGUGCGAAAUACCAGAAAGAUAUAUUUGCUAAAAUAAUUUUUUUAAAAAAGGUUUUAAAAAGCCUGAGGAAUUCUUAUUUCAAAAAAUAAAUGAAUAAAGAGGAACGAGCGUUAAACAAAAACAACCUAUAAAAACUAUGCUUGUUAUUUUUACAACUCGGAUCUAGCAAAUAUUCAUUUAAAAAAUAAGUUCAGUGCUAUUUAACCUUUUCCACAUUAAUCAUCCCAAUUUAUCUGCUAAAUCUAGUAUAACCCUACUAUUAUUAUCUGAAAAAGACCACAAAAAGAAAAGUAUAAAUCCAUCCAAUUCCUAUUGUGUGAGAAAUGAAAUAGAAUAAUAAUGAAAUAAAUUUAACCUCAACCUAAAAAUUAUUGCUUUAAUAAGCAGAGUUAUUACAGGAGAAGGAUCAUUAAAAAUCAGAAACUUCAUCCAUGAAAAUAAUCAUUAAUAAAAGUAAUCAAAUAAAGGUAUUAAGGAAAACAUAAUAAUCACAGUAAGUGCUGAAACAUUUUUAUAAAAUUCUGCAUCCUUUUUUGGUGAGAGGAAUAGACUGAUAAUGCUGUGGUCUAAACAUCGAUAUGAAACAAAUAGCUGCUAGUUAUUAGAAGAAAGAUAGGAUUUCAACUUGAGAAAUAUCCAAUAUGUUUUUUAAUACUUUCUAGAUAAAUAAAUGAGACAAUGAAAGAAAAUAGAAGCAAUAGAAUGGAAGGCACUGUGUUUACAUUAUUUACAGUUAUUUUAACUGUCUAUUGUGGCAUUUUCAUGUAUCAGUUUAGCCAGACCUCAUUAUAUUUCCCUGAAUUCCCUUGCCUAUAGGUUUCCAGUUAGAGAGAUCAACAACAGCAAAGAUUUUUAUGACCGAUUUAGAGGGCAGAAAUAAAGCAGCAGCCGUCAUGUAGUGCGCACAUGUUGCUGUUUGUCUGCUGACUCCCCUCAUUGUGCCUUGUCUUAGUCUGUUGGGCUUGUAUAGCAAAAUGCCAUGGACUGGGUGGCUUGUAAACAACAAAAAGUUAUUUGUCACAGUUCUGGAGGUUGGAAGUCUAAGAUCAGGGUGCUAGCAACAUAAGCUGGAAGACGUUUUCUGGCCCCAGAAUUUUUGCUGUAUCCCACAUGGUGGAAGCAGUAAGAGAGUUUGCUAGGUCUCUUUUAUAAGGCACUAAUCUCAUUCAUGGGAACUCUACCAAUAUGAUUUACUCAACUUCCAAGAGCCACAACUCUUAGCACUGUCGUAUUGUGCACUAGGAUUUCAAUAUAUGAAUUUUGAGAAGGAUACAAACAUUCCAAGUAUGGCAGGCCUGCCACUGCUCAACAUUCCUUCAAAGACCCCAUUAGCUUGUCUGGCACCUGGGCCAGAAUGAUGAUGAAGAGACUUGGAUUCUGCAGGAUCUCCAUGCCGGACAAGAGAUAAGAACUGACAAGGAUUUUUGUCUGUAUUCAAAGGCCCCACCUUGCUUAUGCGGUUCAGCUUGUUUUUCCUCUUCUCCAUUUUAAAUACUUUCCCUUCCCAACUGCCUUCCUUAUGAACUUCAAACUCUGGCAUCAAACCCAAGGACAACAGCCUUACAGAGACUGCUUAAUCAUUUCCUACUACUGUGUAAAAUCAAACCCUUUAUGUAUAUACUUCCUAAUGUUUCAGCUUCUGUGACUGAACCCUGAUGAUAUACUAACUGGAAAACUUGUAAGAAUCAACAGAAAAUUCCUGUGGACUUGACAAUCCCGAGAGAGUAACUAGUCUCAAGGAAAAUGUAUUAAUGGAAGGUGAUAUUUCAAUUACCAGUUAUCAUUUACCAAGAGACUAGAGAAAAAUAAGGGACAAGACGACCAUCUCACUCAAAAUAAUAACAAAACCACAAAUGGCCUAGGGAGAAGUGAAAUAAGAAGUGAGUACCUACAUAAGGAAAAGUAAAGCCCCCUUUUUUUUUUGAGAUAUAAGAAAUAGAAUAGAGAUAUCAAUGUUCAUAAACAGAAAAAAGUUAUAUUGUGACAAUUUCAGUUAUAGCUUUCAAAACUUAAAUUUAGCACAAUUUAUAUAAAAAUUCAAUCCAAGAAGGAGAUGCUAAAAUCAUUAGGAAAAUUUAAAAUGGUCCAUCUGGAACAUUUUAUAAGAUUGUCAUUAAUGAAACUUUAAUCUUAUUAGAUAAUAUAAUGGAACAAAAGCUAUCAUUUUCUAGGCAUAGAACAAACAGUUGAAUAAAUAGAACAGAGUAACGAAUCCAGAAACAGCCCCAAAUAGAUAAAUAAGCAUUUGAUAAAGGUAAAAUUCCAAAUCAG
RNAcentral lists this long non-coding RNA (5626 nucleotides) under Sus scrofa (pig). Its description in RNAcentral is "lncRNA (ENSSSCG00000061100.1)". Lineage: Eukaryota; Metazoa; Chordata; Mammalia; Artiodactyla; Suidae. The record is from RNAcentral.